Molecule: unclassified non-coding RNA, 1614 nt
Filed under: uncultured fungus
Lineage: Eukaryota; Fungi
Description: sequence contains 18S rRNA gene, ITS1, 5.8S rRNA gene, ITS2, 28S rRNA gene
Rfam family: Eukaryotic large subunit ribosomal RNA (bases 623-1614)
Source: RNAcentral
AGCUGGAUCAUUUUUCCGAAAAAUGAAUUCAAAAAAACCCUUUCCUCGUUUCUCCACACAUUAUCCCCAUCCCCUUCGCGGGUGGGUGGGUGCGUGUGUGUGGGAAACACACAACACAAAACAAAGUGCAGCGUUUCUCUCGUCACACAGAGAAAUCCUGCCCUGCCUUCCAAAACACAAUGCACGGCGCCUUUACAACGGCGCGGUGGGGCAGAACCUAAAACGUGUCGCGAUGGAUGACUUGGCUUCCCAUAUCUGUGAAGAACGCAGCAAAGUGCGAUAAGUGGUAUGAAUUGCAGAAUCUCUCCAUUACUUAAUCUUUGAACGCAAAAGGCGCUCGGGAGAAGUCCCUCGUGGGCCAUCCCCGUGCAUGCCGUAUUGCUCAGUGUCGAAAACAAAAAAUCCUAAAAGCAUCACAAGUGCUUUCUUAUGGGUUUCUCGAAGUUGUGGCCAACGCCUUUUCGUGUUUGGAACGCAAUUCGGGGAUUGGGUGUUCCUUUUGUUGGAAACGACAAGAACAAAGCAUCCAAUCAUUCUUCAAAAAAGGAAAAAACCGGUACAACCAACGGGAAAAGAAGAAGGCACAUCCGUGUGUCUCUCUUCUCUUCUUUCUUUUUAUUACUGACCUGAGUGCGGCAGGACGACCCGCUAAACUUAAGCAUAUUGCUCAGCGGAGGAAAAGAAAACAACCGUGAUUCCCUUAGUGAGCGGCGAGCGAACAGGGAUCCAACUCGAUGCCGAAUCGGGCUUUACAGAGCCUUGAGUUGUGGCACGACUACCCCGUGACUGGUCAAGGGAGUGGCAAAAUUCAAUGUGCAAAGCAAACCCAUUGUUGAAUGCAACCCUUCAUGUGAGUAUUGAGCCAUAGGAGGUGAAAGCCCAUUCCAGCCACUGCAUACCCUAAACCUCAUUGGGUGGUUAUAAGCGAGUAGCACUGCUUGGGAAUGCAGUGUCAAGCGGCAGGUAUGUGUCUGCCAAAGUUAAAUACAAAAUGGGAAGACCGAUAGCAAACAAGUAGCGUGAGCGAAAGUUUGAAAAGCACUUUGGAAAGAGAGUGACAUAGAACCUGAAGUCGUGACAAUGACAAUGAAAGUGCUCCAUUUUUGUCAAGGCCAGCCCUGCAGCAUUAUCCGGUCCUCCGCCUUCGGGCGCCAGUGCCGGCCAAACAAGUGUUGAAAGGGGACUGGAGCAACGAGCCGAGGUAAAGGGAGGAGUUUUGCCUAGCAAUGCACCCUUUCCUUCUCGGUAGACUCAGCGACUUGACGCUCUGGAAAUGGGGUACCUUCACCCGUCUUGAAACACGGACCAAGGAGUCAAACAGACACGCAAGGGGGAAGAUAUUGUUGCCAGUACUUCUCUCGAACUGAAAGGGAUGCUUUUUGCAUUGGUGUGCACACGAAAAUUCGUUGUUCUUGCCCAACACCGACCGCCCUUCUUUUAGGGUGAGUCUGAGUGUGCCUGUUUGGACCCGAAAGGUGGUGAACUAUGCCUGAACAAGGUGAAGUCCGGGGAAACUCGGAUGGAGGCCUGUAGCGGUGCUGACGUGCAAAUCGCUCGCACGAUUUGGGUAUCGGAGCGAAAGACUCAUCGAACCACCUAGUAGCUGGUUCACAU